GAUGAACGCUGGCGGCGUGCCUAACACAUGCAAGUCGAACGGAGUUACUUUGGUGAAGUUUUCGGACGGAUCUGAUUUAACUUAGUGGCGGACGGGUGAGUAAUGCGUGAGCAACCUGCCCUUCAGAGGGGGACAACAGUUGGAAACGACUGCUAAUACCGCAUAAUGUAUCCGGAAGGCAUCUUCUGGAUACCAAAGGAGAAAUCCGCUGAUGGAUGGGCUCACGUCUGAUUAGCUAGUUGGUGAGGUAACGGCUCACCAAGGCUGCGAUCAGUAGCCGGACUGAGAGGUUGAACGGCCACAUUGGGACUGAGAUACGGCCCAGACUCCUACGGGAGGCAGCAGUGGGGAAUAUUGGGCAAUGGGCGAAAGCCUGACCCAGCAACGCCGCGUGAAGGAAGAAGGCCUUCGGGUUGUAAACUUCUUUUAAGAGGGACGAAGAAGUGACGGUACCUCUUGAAUAAGCCACGGCUAACUACGUG
Molecule: ribosomal RNA, 482 nt
Filed under: uncultured bacterium
Lineage: Bacteria
Description: bacterial SSU rRNA
Rfam family: Bacterial small subunit ribosomal RNA
Source: RNAcentral